Long non-coding RNA from Homo sapiens (human), 1673 nucleotides. Ensembl annotates it as long intergenic non-protein coding RNA 1206. Lineage: Eukaryota; Metazoa; Chordata; Mammalia; Primates; Hominidae. The record is from Ensembl.
GGCAGUUGAGAUUCAGACCUUGACAGUUGUAACCGAUAGACUGGGCUGGGGCAACGCUGAUGAAAGGCAAAUUCCUGAGAGAAAAAUCACCCAGACUUUCUAGAAGUUGUUAUGAGUGGACCUGACUACCUAGAGAGAGUAAUACAGAAGCUCCGUGCCGAUCACAGCUACCUCAUUACCAUGUUCCUCCAAGAUGGCCGCCCCUGAGGAGAAUCAUCAACUGGGCUUUACGGAAGAGAGAAAUCCAAACGACCAUCAGCAACAAAUGAAAGACUGAAGUUGAAAGUUUCAAGAUUGUCAAGAAUGACGAGUUGGACUUGGUCUAGUUACUUCCACAGCAGCAGGAGGAACAUGUGUGUGACUCAGGAUAACUGGGGAAGCCUUGGCUAGGCUUUCCUCAUGUCAACCUACCACUCAAAGGGAGAAAACCUCCUGAUCAGAGGUGCCCAGAACCCAGGAAAUCCAUAAUUUUUGAAUGCUGGCCGAGGUCUGUGACCUCUGACUGAAUGGUUUCCAAGCUCCGAAUUCCUAGGUGAUGUUUUCAUUUGUUCACACUUGCUGAAGAAGGGAAAGGCUCUCUGAUUUACGUGUAAGCAAAACAAUCUAAACAGUAGGAUAAAAUCAUGUUGGAAUGGAGUUCUGUGUGGAUGCUCCUUUGAACCAAAUCAGUUCCACAACUGACCCUGUCAGGGACAUAUAAAUUUAGCAUUUUGGUGUGGAUACAGAAGACGAGAUUAACACAGAUCAAGUAACAUGGAAAUAAAAAAGGAGACAAUGCUGGAUGAUACAGGGGCAGCCAACAAGAGGAGAAAACCCAAGCAUUGGCAAAUGCCUCAUUAUCCAAAGAACACUGAGGUGUGGAGCAAAACUGUGUUGAAUGAACUGUAGAUGGAAAUUCUCUCCUUCCCACCGAGGAGCCGCUGCAGGUUGCAGACUCCCAGAAUGCCACACUGAGAAGAGGAGGGCUAAAAUUCUAGAGCAGAAUCCCUGGGGCAGCCCCUGCUGAAGAAGGGUGCAUCUGUUGAGAAUCUCAUCACCGCCCCCACCCCGCCCAGCCUUCAAUUUAGAGGAAUUUCUAGUUCACGCAGAAUGAAGACAAGAUCACAUAAGUGAGGACGACGCCCCAUUUACAAGUGUGAUUUGGAAGACUGAAGUGGAAACCUUGGGAAGGGGCCUCAGAGUAUGUCAGCUGGGGUCAGACGGGAACAGGAGUCUGGCUCAACACACAUUUAUUGCACUCCUGUUUCAUGCCAAGAAAUGUACCAAAAUCUGGGACUGUGUAACACAGCAAAGGAAAAGACUCAUCUCCAGGAAGCCCCCUUGUCUAGGAAGAGAAAUUGAAUAUCAGCAUAAGGUGGUGAAAAGCUGUGAAGGAGAUGAGUGCCAGGAGUCCAUGGAGGAAGGAUUCUAGCCUGGACAGAGUCUCCAUGAAUUGCAAGGGAAAACAAGUGGUACACUGGUAUUUCUAUUUGAUAACCUGUUCUCUUUGGAAUUCCGGUUAGAAAUCAAAGGCUUACUUGAGUUUUAAUGCUUUCGGGACUUCAAAUGCUUUUCUAUCUUCCUAAUAAUAUAUUAACAUUUUCUGAAGACAACAUAUAUGUGGAAAACAACAUUAUUUACUCAAAUAAUUUUUUUUGAAAAAUGGACCAAAAAAAAAGAAAAACCAACAAAAA